ACCUGGUUCCACUGCUCAACGCUGGGACAGGCGACUUUUAAACUCUUCAAACAAGGCUUGUGGCACUUUUUUCAUGGCUCAGGAGAAUCCUGAACCUCACAGAAGCAACACAAGAGAAUCCUGAACCUCACAGAAACCUCUGGGAGCUGCUACACGAAACCAUUGAGCGCAGCUGGAAAAUAAUGCCAGGGCCCAGAGGAAUCUCCUGCUCGGCGUGGCGAGCCCGUGGAUUCCCACAGAAAAUAGGGAAUGCUCAAGAGGAUCCAUUGCCUUUUUGCCAGGCUUGGAUUAAUGGCAGCCUCACCCUUGUGACACCAGCUGGGCUGAGAAACAUCAGAGGUGGCAUUUCCGGGGAUUCACAUGAGGAAAGGUGCUGGAGAACAAACUCCAGGAAGCAAAUAGCUCUUCUCCUCCUCACCAACACCUCUGCAAGCCCUUCAAGAAGGUCAGGAUGAAGAGAGUGUGGGAUUGGCAUUCCUGAGAUUCUGGAGAGAUGAAAACCCAAAGAGAAAAAGCUCCCUGCUUUUCAGACACCGUGAAUUAAGGAAUAUUCCCUUUUUUUUAAUCCCUGUUUUUCAUACACCUUUCAAUUCUAAUGAUGCUGAGCAGGGUGUUAAGGGAAAACUGAAGGAGAACCUGGGGAUUUAGGACUGAGAAAUGUUCCCUGAGAAUAAAAUCAAAGAUGUACCAGAGAGGGACAGAGGAGGUUCUGCCUGUCCCCUCCUCACCCUCGGCUGGAAAUCAAAGGUUUGAAACCCCUUGGAAUUGAAGAUUUCCUCUGUCACAGGACGGGGGAAAACUUCUGCUCGCCAUCCCUGAUCCCAGCCCCAUCCUCUGCUCGUUAAAACAAUCCCCGAGCACCAAUUUGCGCUGAUCAAUUUCUGUGUGAGCUCCGGAGAGGAGCGAGUAGCUGGCUCGGUCUCUUCCACAUCAAGAGAUUAAGUGAACCAGUCAAAACAAAUCCAGCUUCACUUCCCAGCAGACGGAAGAGCUGCUCCUUUUUAACCCUUCCCACCCUGCCGUGCCUUUCCCAGGGGGGGAAUUCCUUCCAUCAUCCUCAGCCUGCCUUUAAACUCCAUUUAAACCAGCACCGGGAGCACUGGGUAUUUUUAUUAUUAUAGGUAAAUAAAUAAUUUAAUGUCCAACAUCCCUUCUUUUCCGUGUCAGAAUGAAAUUAGGAACAGAAUUCAAAAAGCAGAUUAGAAAUGCAGAUUUUUUUUUUCCCACCCCAAAUCUAUGCUCGAAUGGAUUUCCUUCCCACCCAGCAGCAGCAGCAGCAGCAGCCAAAGGGUUAAAUUGGCACGAUUUGUCUCUUUUCCAGCAUUAACGAGUCCCCAUCCCACAUUUGGCUGCUUCUUGCACAGCUCCUGCCCUUGGAUGCGAUUACAGCCGCCCAACCAGUCGGACUGGAUUCCCCUCGCUUCUCCUUCGCUCUCCCCGCAGCUUUCCCCCUCGCCGGGGCCUUCCCCACCACAACAAUGUCACCGCGGGGACUGGGUGACAUCAGGCCGAGCUGGAUCGGUUUGCAGUUCAUCCCUGAGUGCACACGCACAAAUACCAGGCUGGCAUCAGGAGAGGCCCCUCUGCUGCUGCUGGCUCCAGCUGGAGAGGGACAGGGCCCAGGUGGGGAUCCCUGUGCUUGCAAAAUUAGGAGUGGGUUCUCCAGAAGACAAACAAGGUUCCCCUCCUGUUGGAACCUGUUGGAAGCCUGGAUGCUGAGAAUUUUAAACUUCCUGUGCUAAAAGGCACAGACCCGCAAAAGAACACUGCAUUUUUCCAAAAUUAGUUAAUAAAAUUGGGAUUAUGAGGCUGUAGUUGGGUAGAGGUGUGUGAUAUCACAAGGUAGAAAAGUUAGGGUUUAGGGUUUUAGGAUAUAGAAAUAAAGAUGCAGCAAGAUGGAGGUUUUAUGGUGGAGACAGGUUAUUUUUCUUUACCUUCUACUUCCAAAUUUGUUUGGAAUUAUGUGUCUGUAGUUGGGUAGAGGUGUGUGAUAUCACAAGGUAUAAAACUUAGAGCUUAGGGUUUUAGGAUGUGGAAAUAAAGAUGAAGCAAGAUGGAGGUUUUAGGGUGGAGACAGGUCAUUCUUCUUCACCUUCUUCUUCCAAACUUGAUUGGGGUUAUGAGUCUGUAGUUGGGUAGAGGUGUGUGAUAUCACGAGGUGGAAAACUUAGAGUUUAGGGUUUUAGAAUACAGAAAUAAAGAUGAAACAAGAUGGAGGUUUUAUGGUGGAGACAGGUCACUCUUCUUCACCUUCUCCUUCCAAAUUUGAUCAAUAAAAUUGGGGUUAUGAGUGUGUAGUUGGUUAGAGGUAUGUAAUAUCACGAGGUGGAAAAGUUAGAGUUCAGGGUUUUAGGAUGUAGGAAAAAAGACGAAGCAAGAUGGAGGUUUUAUGAUGGAGACAGGUCAUUCUUCUUCACCUUCUCCUUCCAAAUUUGAUCAAUAAAAUUGGGAUUACGAGUGUGUAGUUGGUUAGAGGUGUGUGAUAUCACAAGGUAUAAAACUUAGUGUUUAGGGUUUUAGAAUAUAGAAAUAAAGAUGAAGCAAGAUGGAGGUUUUAGGGUGGAGACAGGUCACUCUUCUUUACCUUCUACUUCCAAAUUUGAUUGGAAUUAUGUGUCUGUAGUUGGGUAGAGGUGUGUGAUAUCACAAGGUAGAAAAGUUAGGGUUUAGGGUUUUAGGAUAUAGAAAUAAAGAUGAAGCAAGAUGGAGGUUUUAUGGUGGAGACAGGUCAUUCUUCUUCACCUUCUCCUUCCAAAUUUGAUCAAUAAAAUUGGGAUUAUGAGUGUGUAGUUGGUUAGAGGUGUGUGAUAUCACAAGGUAGAAAAGUUAGAGUUUAGGAUUUUAGGAUGUAGGAAAAAAGAUGAAACAAGAUGGAGGUUUUAGGGUGGAGACAGGUCAUUCUUCUUCACCUUCUUCUUCCAAACUUGAUUGGGGUUAUGAGUCUGUAGUUGGGUAGAGGUGUGUGAUAUCAUGAGGUGGAAAACUUAGAGUUUAGGGUUUUAGAAUACAGAAAUAAAGAUGCAGCAAGAUGGAGGUUUUAUGGUGGAGACAGGUCAUUCUUCUUCCCCUUCUCCUUCCAAAUUUGAUCAAUAAAAUUGGGAUUAUGAGUGUGUAGUUGGUUAGAGGUGUGUAAUAUCACAAGGUGGAAAACUUUGAGUUUAGUGUUUUAGGAUAUAGAAAUAAAGAUGCAGCAAGAUGGAGGUUUUAUGGUGGAGACAGGUCACUCUUCACCUUCUCCUUCCAAAAUUGACUGGGGUUAUGAGUCUGUAGUUGGGUAGAGGUGUGUGAUAUCGUGAGGUGGAAAAGUUAGAGUUUAGGGUUUUAGGAUGUGGAAAUAAAGAUGAAGCAAGAUGGAGGUUUUAGGGUGGAGACAGGUCAUUCUUCUUCACCUUCUCCUUCCAAAAUUGAUUUGGGUUAUGAGUCUGUAGUUGGUUAGAGGUGUGUGAUAUCACAAGGUAGAAAAAUUAGAGUUUAGGGUUUUAGGAUGUAGAAAAAAAGAUGAUGCAAGAUGGAGGUUUUAUGGUGGAGACAGGUCAUUCUUCUUCACCUUCUCCUUCCAAAUUUGAUUGGAAUUAUGAGUCUGUAGUUGGGUAGAGGUGUGUGAUAUCACGAGGUGGAAAACUUAGAGUUUAGGAUUUUAGAAUGUAGGAAAAAAGAUGAUGCAAGAUGGAGGUUUUAGGCUGGAGACAGGUCAUUCUUCUUCACCUUUUCCUUCCAAAAUUGAUUAAUAAAAUUUGGAUUAUGAGUCUGUAGUUGUUUAGAGGUGUGUAAUAUCAUGAGGUAGAAAAGUUAGAGUUUAGGGUUUUAGGAUGUGGAAAUAAAGAUGAAGCAAGAUGGAGGUUUUAGGGUGGAGACAGGUCAUUCUUCUUCACCUUCUCCUUCCUUCUUCUUCAUGGGUUUGGGUGGUAUUUUGUAAUUGGACAAAAAAUCUGCAAUGUGAACUUUGAAGGAUCAAUUAUUGAGUUAAAAGGGAAAAUAAUCUAAGUCUCAUUUCUUAAUUAGAUAGUUGAAUCUUAAAAGACCUUAUAACAAGAAAUAGUUAAUAAUUUUAUACCUUACUAAUAAAAGACUACAAAACUCACAAUAAUAAAACUGUAACACUAAUAAAAACAAUAAACACAAA
Haemorhous mexicanus (house finch) is the source of this 4123-nucleotide long non-coding RNA. RefSeq lists it as uncharacterized. Lineage: Eukaryota; Metazoa; Chordata; Aves; Passeriformes; Fringillidae. The record is from RefSeq and is a predicted model, not a curated record. The transcript has 3 exons.